Long non-coding RNA from Pseudopipra pipra, 4351 nucleotides. RefSeq lists it as uncharacterized. The transcript has 3 exons. Lineage: Eukaryota; Metazoa; Chordata; Aves; Passeriformes; Pipridae. The record is from RefSeq and is a predicted model, not a curated record.
CUGUUUUCAAAUAUGUGUAGACAACUACUCUUCCUUUGCUGUGAAGCUGAUUUUAAGAUCCUUGAAUAGGGGCUCCAGUUCCUUUGAACAUUAAUACAGUACUUAGAACAGUGGUGCCUCUAGCCAGAUUGGGACGUUUGGGAGCCACUGCAGUCUUGCUGUUAUUUGGAUAGGAAUGGAUCAAAUCCAACAAAUAUCCAACAAGCAUUUCCAGAGAAUUCAGUUUUGACUGCCUUAUGAGUGUAUUUGAAUACAACUAUUUAAGUGUAGAAUGUUGCACCAAGCUCUAAAGACUGUAUGGUUUUAUUAACCAAGUAUUGUAGAAAAGCUGUUGAAUGAGUCUCCAACCAGUGUCUGCAGUUAAAAUUUCUCAGCAUUUAGCCUUUCUUUUCUUAUUUUGUUCUUCUUCUACUGCUGGAAAAGUGUCUUACCUGUAUACUUUACAUAAUGUAAUGGGAAUGAAUUUAUUAAAGUGAGCCAGUGUAUUGUCAGACUAGAAGAAACCUAUGCAGAAGGGUUAGACAAGUUGCCUGCUUUGUGGACAAGCUGAAGUAUAGGCCACGUGAAUCCUUCCUGCAGUGUCUGUAAGGCCACCAUGAAGAGUCAAAAUGUGUGUGGAUGGUGCCUGGUCCUAGAUGGAUAUGAAUGCAAAAUAACUUUACUGUGCUUAUAGUGACUGGACUUGGACAGGAAUUCUUCACUGCUAUCUCUACAUCUCCUCCUGGGCAGUGUUUAGAGGCUGCAGGCAGGACAGAUGGGAUGCUCUUCAUUCUGGCUAAGUUAGUAAUUUCAGUGGAAAGAAAAACUAAAUAGAUUUAAAGAGGGUGGAAGAGGUCACCCAAACUCCCUGACCCUGUUUGGGAGGAGGUCAGGGAAAUUUUUUCUGCUCUCAGUUGCCUGCUAGCCAACCUUCUGUCCUGUAUACAUGAACCCAGUUCCCUUAUCAUGAGAUCCGUUUAAGCCAAGUAGCCCUUGGCUCUGGAGUAAGAAUAAUCAGAACAACAAUACUAUUGAUAAAGGGAUAAUGUCAGGAAAUGCAGGACUGAGCUCUUAAUUGUCUUAAAACUGAGUUAAUUUCUAUUUUCAGUACCAACAUUUUAAAAUAAGAGAAAUAUCUGCCCUUAAGACCAGUCUGUGAUGCCACUAUGCAAUUGAUGGUGGAGGUCAGUUAGUGCAGGUAUAUAACCUCAUUACAUUUGUUCUGCUAGUGUCAACUAUAUUUUUUAAUUUUUUUUUUUAAGGCAAGCAUUGGUUCUCUAGAAAGGAAGGUGGAAUCUGGAGAAUAAAUAGUAGGUUGAUACAGCAGAAUUGUUUUCUAGCUUCUAAAAUGUGUUGGCUGAUCUGGGAAGUGGUGUUUAAUGGCAGGUUAUAAAAACUGCAUUAUCUUUUGUUUGGAAAAUCUACCAGCCUAGAAGCUUUUCGUCCAUGGAUGUAAACUUCUGUGCAUUGGUUCUCUGCAAACUUCCUAACAAGAACAUUUUUUUAAUGAUGUUUCUGGAAAAGCCAUUUACAGGGGUGAAAAUUUCACUUAAGAGGGCAGCUGCAUGGGGGAAGGUAUGAAGAUUUUGGCAUGCAGACCGUGAAGAUCUAAGCUUUCCCCUCUUUCUCCUUCUAGGAUGUCAUUUAAAGAAGAAAGUACUGUCUUCUCUUGCCUCGCUCAGUCUCUUAGAUCACAAUGAGUGCAACAGCUACCAUGGCACUAGUACCAUGACAUCAAAAUUGAUCACUGAAACUUCUCCCAGCUAUGUUAAUCGCUGUCUUGGGCCUGUGUCCUUGAAACAGCCUUGUCAGAAUCUGAGGAACAGUAACAUGCCCCAGCUUAAAAUGAAGAAAUCUGUGCCUAUUACUGCCUUUAUUUUAGAAACAGCAUAAAUGUACUCUCUGUACCUGGGACAGGGUGGGGAGUGACUGCUGGGGCAGCAGCUCUGCUGGAAAGGACCAUGGAAACCUGUGGGACAACAGGCUGCGGUGUCCCGGCAGCAGGAGAGGUUACCCCUUGGUGAUUUUCUGGAACAGGUUGCCCAGAGAGGCUAGGAGAACACCAUCCCUGGAAUGUUUCAUUCCUGUCUGGACAAAGCUGGGAAUGGCCUGGUCAGACCCAAGAGCUGCCCUUGCAUGGAGCAGGAGGUUGGAGGAGGAGCCUUCUGAGGUCCCUGCCAACUUGGUUAUUCUGUGCAUCUAUGACUGCUUGACAGUGAGUGUUGGUAGAUAUCCAUACAGUGUUGCAGUUGUGAGCAUCGACGUUCCUGGCUGGAUUGCAGUAUAAUUUAAAAGACAAAUUAAACUGUUACCUACCUUCUAUUCCUUAGACAAUACAUUGCUGUGAUUCAGGCUUUUCUCACCAACACCGAGGACUUGAAAUCUGUAAAAAGAUUAAUACACAAGGGUUCCCAAAAUUUAUUUUAGCUCUGAUACAUUCAGCAAAACGUGCAGGUCAAGGGCUUUAACAUAGGGUAUUUAUAAUGCCUCAUAGCACUGAAUCAUGCGAAUUCCCUUACAUGGGAUGGGACUCUUGGAAGGAGAAUUUGUGAACUGAAGAUGAAGAAAAGUGUGGUCUUCUAUUUCUGGAACUUUGCAUUUCCAGAGUGGCAGAAAAAAGCUCCAAAUGACCUCUCCACCAAAACCAGAAAAGCUUUCAUCAAAAUGUCUACUUUAUUAAUCUAGAAAAUUCUGAAAUAGAUUUUUCUUAAGUCUGCUGUCAGAGAAGGGAAGUUUCAGUGCCUAAGGAAAAACACCGAAGUCUUUUCCUCCCAGUUCUUUUUUUUGUAAUUCUUUGAUUUAAAUAUUAACUGCAUGCCUUUGAUGACAAUUUUUCUUGUAUUUUCCAAACUGGUUUUUUUUCAAGUUUAAAAAGGAGCCAUGGUGUGUUAGCGAAGGUCUGCUGUUUGUCGGUGAGCAUUUUCUGACUGGGUUUGGGAAAAGGGACGGAGGAAUGAGAAGAGGCAGAAGUGACUGCCUUGUCUCUGUCAGACUGGCGUGGGCAGGGAUGCCCAGUGCUCCAGUGCGUUCAGUACUGAAUCCCUUGGCUUUGUUUCUGUGCGAUUGUUGUGAUUCAUUUCAGUGGGCUAAUUCACAUACAUUGUUGCAACAAAAGCAAUUCUGGAAUUUUUUUCAGUCCAGAAGCAUAAAUGUAACUAUAUAAUCUAAACAGGAAAAAAGAAAACGUUGACAACUAUGUAAGUAGGGGGUUUUUUUUCCUGUUUGUCCUUUUCCUGAUUCUGAUCAGUUGUUUUUUAAAGUUGUAGUUUGGAAAAAGAAAGGUCCUGAUUUGGGAGCAUGCAUGUACGAUGUCUUGGCUUCUGCUGGUGUUUGGAUUAAUUAAAGAUAGUGAAGAAAAUAAACUGUUUUCCAGAAAAGAUUAUACUGGCAAGGAAUAGGAGGUGUCAUAAUCAGCGAGUCAUAAAGGUGAGUCUUGCCUGAGUUCAAAGAAAUUAUAUAAAAGCUUAGCCUAACAUCCUACCCCUCCCAAAACCAAUUUUUACUUCAACAAGGGGGACUUCAGUUUUGGAAUAACAUGGAAAAAAACCAGUAAAUCAACAAAGUUUAGGCGACUCAAAUGAUCCUUUAUUAGAAACAGCUUGCCUCUUCUAAAGAGAAACAAAAGUACCCUCUAAACAUUUUAAUUAUGAACAUGCAAAUCUUCAGUCUUGCUGGAGCCUUGUUUUCUCCUUCUCUCAGAUCAGUGCCACUCUGCCCACGUUGAUUCUCUGCUGAGGGUGCUGGGCUGAUGGGCACUUUCUGUCAGGGCAGGUACUACUUCCCACUGGUGGUGUGGACUGUAGGCAGUGCUACACUGUUCUCUCGGGAUGGCCCAGGCACAUGGCCACUGCUGAAAGUGGAGGUGGUGCCUGUUGUGUGGUGGCUUCAGCAUAGGCAGCUGUUGCAUUGCAGUUCCUGGUAUCCAGAGCCUCUUAGAUUGGCACAGCACAGCUGAGGGUGAGAUAUGUCCUGUGAGGAGAUCAGCUUAAAGGGAGCAGAGGGUGUUAAAAAUAAAGCUGGUGAAGCUGCAAAGUAAUUUCUUCUCCCUUGCUUAUCUUUCAAUGAUUAUUUUCUCCUGGGAAGCAGUCCUCAGUUAGAUUUGCAGGUGUUCAUUUGCUAUGGGUGCUCUUCAAAGAUGAACAUCAAACUGGAUUUAUUGCAGCCUCACAUAUGAAAGAUGCACUGCAGUUGAUGGGAGAACCUUCUUGGAAUGUCCUAAACAGAAAAGGAUCCUUAUUUUUAUUUAAAAAGGCAGCUCAGGAAUAAAUGCUUUGUUACUUCAUUCCUUUCCGUCAUUUUGCUUCUUAUUAGUAGCUUCACGGGAGAAAGUAAGCAAAAGUGUUAGAGAUAGCUGUGGGAUAACUUAAUGAAA